GACGAACGCUGGCGGCGUGCUUAACACAUGCAAGUCGAACGGAAAGGCCCUGCUUUUGUGGGGUGCUCGAGUGGCGAACGGGUGAGUAACACGUGAGUAACCUGCCCUUGACUUUGGGAUAACUUCAGGAAACUGGGGCUAAUACCGGAUAGGAGCUCCUGCUGCAUGGUGGGGGUUGGAAAGUUUCGGCGGUUGGGGAUGGACUCGCGGCUUAUCAGCUUGUUGGUGGGGUAGUGGCUUACCAAGGCUUUGACGGGUAGCCGGCCUGAGAGGGGGACCGGCCACAUUGGGACUGAGAUACGGCCCAGAAGCCUACGGGAGGCAGCAGUGGGGAAUAUGGCACAAUGGGCGGAAGCCUGAGGCAGCAACGCCGCGUGCGGGAUGACGGCCUUCGGGUUGUAAACCGCUUUCGCCUGUGACGAAGCGUGAGUGACGGUAAUGGGUAAAGAAGCACCGGCUAACUACGUG
Molecule: ribosomal RNA, 468 nt
Filed under: uncultured bacterium
Lineage: Bacteria
Description: partial 16S ribosomal RNA
Rfam family: Bacterial small subunit ribosomal RNA
Source: RNAcentral